This 468-nucleotide ribosomal RNA is filed under the name uncultured bacterium. RNAcentral's name for it is "partial 16S ribosomal RNA". It matches the Rfam family "Bacterial small subunit ribosomal RNA", at positions 28 to 507 of the family's 1533-position model. The record is from RNAcentral.
GACGAACGCUGGCGGCGUGCUUAAUACAUGCAAGUCGAACGGACAGGCCCUGCUUUUGUGGGGUGCACGAGAGGCGAACGGGUGAGUAACACGGGAUUACCCUGCCCUUGACUUCGGGAUAACUUCAGGAAACUGGGGCUAAUACCGGAUAGGAGCUCCUGCUGCUUGGUGGGGCUUGGUAAGUUUCGGCGGUUGGGGAUGGACUCGCGGCUUAUGAGCUCGUCGGUGGGGUAGUGGAUCACCAAGGCGUUGACGGGUAGCCGGCCUGGGAGGGUGACAGGCCACAUUGGGACUGAGAUACGGGCCAGACUGCUUCGGGAGGCAGCAGUGGGGGAUAUUGCGCGAUGGGCGGAGGGCUUGAGCAGGAACUCCGGGUGCGGGAGGACGGCCUUCGGGUUGUAAAGCGCUUGCGCGUGUAACGAAGCGUGAGUGACGGUAAUGGGUAAGAAAGCACCGGCUAACUACGUG